Molecule: small RNA, 81 nt
Filed under: Klebsiella pasteurii
Lineage: Bacteria; Pseudomonadati; Pseudomonadota; Gammaproteobacteria; Enterobacterales; Enterobacteriaceae
Description: partial RtT sRNA
Rfam family: RtT RNA
About the family: This family represents a bacterial cis-regulatory element known as RtT RNA. The exact function of RtT is unknown although it is thought that it may be involved in changing the cellular response in relation to amino acid starvation.
Source: RNAcentral
AGCGAAGCGAGAAAGCGUUGCCGCAGGCAACGACCCGAAGGGCGAGGCGCAACGCGCCGAGUAAUCCUUCCCCCACCCUCA